This 462-nucleotide ribosomal RNA is filed under the name Streptococcus sp. oral taxon 071. Its description in RNAcentral is "bacterial SSU rRNA". It matches the Rfam family "Bacterial small subunit ribosomal RNA", at positions 38 to 483 of the family's 1533-position model. The record is from RNAcentral. Lineage: Bacteria; Bacillati; Bacillota; Bacilli; Lactobacillales; Streptococcaceae.
GGCGGCGUGCCUAAUACAUGCAAGUAGAACGCUGAAGAGAGGAGCUUGCUCUUCUUGGAUGAGUUGCGAACGGGUGAGUAACGCGUAGGUAACCUGCCUGGUAGCGGGGGAUAACUAUUGGAAACGAUAGCUAAUACCGCAUAAAAUGGAUUAUCGCAUGAUAAUGCAUUGAAAGGUGCAAAUGCAUCACUACCAGAUGGACCUGCGUUGUAUUAGCUAGUUGGUGGGGUAACGGCUCACCAAGGCGACGAUACAUAGCCGACCUGAGAGGGUGAUCGGCCACACUGGGACUGAGACACGGCCCAGACUCCUACGGGAGGCAGCAGUAGGGAAUCUUCGGCAAUGGACGGAAGUCUGACCGAGCAACGCCGCGUGAGUGAAGAAGGUUUUCGGAUCGUAAAGCUCUGUUGUAAGAGAAGAACGAGUGUGAGAGUGGAAAGUUCACACUGUGACGGAUCUACC